UUUUAUUGAGAGUUUGAUCCUGGCUCAGGACGAACGCUGGCGGUAUGCUUAACACAUGCAAGUCGAACGCGACGAAGGUGCUUGCACCUUCAGAGAGUGGCGAACGGGUGAGUAACGCGUGGGUAACCUACCCUUUGGAAAGGAAUAGCCUCGGGAAACUGGGAGUAAUGCCUUAUAAGAUGCGA
This 185-nucleotide ribosomal RNA is filed under the name Acetobacterium tundrae. RNAcentral's name for it is "partial 16S ribosomal RNA". It matches the Rfam family "Bacterial small subunit ribosomal RNA", at positions 1 to 183 of the family's 1533-position model. The record is from RNAcentral. Lineage: Bacteria; Bacillati; Bacillota; Clostridia; Eubacteriales; Eubacteriaceae.